Molecule: ribosomal RNA, 406 nt
Filed under: uncultured bacterium
Lineage: Bacteria
Description: partial 16S ribosomal RNA
Rfam family: Bacterial small subunit ribosomal RNA
Source: RNAcentral
AUUGAACGCUGGCGGGAUGCUUUACACAUGCAAGUCGAACGAGUGGCGGACGGGUGAGUAAUAUAUGGGAACGUGCCCAAUGGCGGGGGAUAACUACUGGCAAGGGUAGCUAAUACCGCAUACCCUCGGAUCUGCCCAUAUUGGAUUCGCUAGUUGGUGGGGUAACGGCUCACCUAGGCCACGAUCCCUAGCUGGUUUGAGAGGACGACCAGCCACACUGGGACUGAGACACGGUCCAGACUCCUACGGGAGGCAGCAGUGGGGAAUAUUGGACAAUGGGAGUAAGCCUGAUGCAGCCAUGCCGCGUGUAUGAAGAAGGCCUUCGGGUUGUAAAGUACUUUCGGCAGAGAGGCGUUACAUGCAGAAGAAGCACCGGCUAACUCCGUGCCAGCAGCCGCGGUAAUUC